CUACGGGGGGCUCCAGGCGCGAGAUCUCCGCAAUGCACGCAAGUGUGACGGGGGAAUUCUAAGUGCUCAAGGUUUCCUUGGGCUUUUUGUAAGAGUAAAAAUCUUGCAGAAUAAGUGGUGGGCAAGACUGGUGCCAGCCGCCGCGGUAACCCCAGCGCCACAAGUGGGAACCGGUUUUAUUGGGUCUAAAGCAUUCGUAGCCGGUUCAGAAAAUUUUCUGUGAAAUCAUUCUGCUCAACAGAAUGGCGUGCAGAAAAAACUUCUGAACUUGGGACCAGGAGAGGUCAACAGUAUUCAUAGGGGAGCGGUAAAAUGCUAUAAUCCUAUGAGGACUACCAAUGGCGAAGGCAGUUGACCAGAAUGGAUCCGACGGUGAGGAAUGAAAGCUAGGGGAGCAAAACGGAUUAGAUACCCGAGUAGUC
Molecule: ribosomal RNA, 422 nt
Filed under: uncultured archaeon
Lineage: Archaea
Description: partial 16S ribosomal RNA
Rfam family: Archaeal small subunit ribosomal RNA
Source: RNAcentral